This 253-nucleotide ribosomal RNA is filed under the name uncultured bacterium. RNAcentral describes it as "partial 16S ribosomal RNA". It matches the Rfam family "Bacterial small subunit ribosomal RNA", at positions 524 to 776 of the family's 1533-position model. The record is from RNAcentral.
UACAGAGGGGGCAAGCGUUAUUCGGAAUUAUUGGGCGUAAAGGGCGCGUAGGCGGCCUGGCGAGUGGAAGGUGAAAUCCCUCGGCUUAACCGAGGAACUGCCCUCCAAACUGCUUGGCUUGAGUCCGGGAGAGGUGAGUGGAAUUCCCAGUGUAGCGGUGAAAUGCGUAGAUAUUGGGAGGAACACCAGUGGCGAAGGCGGCUCACUGGACCGGAACUGACGCUGAGGCGCGAAAGCGUGGGGAGCAAACGGG